AAGAACAAUGAGAGUACUAAAAGAGGGUGAAGCUCCUUUGGGAAAAGGUUUGCCACAUCGGUACAAAACAUACAGCACACGAACCGUUAGGAAGAUUGAGAAGAUGAUUAGGAGUGAAGGGAAGGUGCACUUGGAGAGCAUCUUCGAGUAAAUGCAGCAAUGGUGGUGUUCCUCCAUGCUAGCUCUCUCUUCUCCUUCCAAACUACAAUUCGAACAAAGUUUAAAACUUUUGGAUAUUGGCUUCAAAAUUGAGGAUAAAAGAAUCUAAAUUUUCAAUAAAGGCGGAAAUGAUUCCAGAUCUGAAGCUAGAGAGGAGAUGUUAGCAAAAAGGAUCCAUUUUCUUACAGCCGAAACAGAAGAUCUACGACGGAGACGGGAUCAAGAAGGUUUGGUGUUGAAUUUUUCAGUGGUGGUCGCCGUGUUUUUACACGUGGCGUUAGCCCGUGACUUAUCUUGUUCCUUUGUAUUUACCAAAGUGGCAUUUUUUUAAUCUAAACCGAAUUUAAGAGCAAUUUUGUCCGGUUUAGUCAAGAUAUCCAAAACUUAAGUAUCUCCUGAGAUGACAUUUGGUCUCAAACUUUCAAGUGUUUCAUAUAUUUCUUUUGGAUUAACAUUAAGAAGUUUAUCUUUUCUUUUGACAAGUUUUUCUCUCUUUGUCGCGGCAUGCGUUACUGAGUAAGGUCUUGAUACUAGGCAAUGCAACUUCUCUAUGCGUUUUGAACUUGCAAAGACGGUGUUGGCAUACAUUCAUAACCAUUGGGAGGGAAAGAAAACCUGGAUCAGACUACGUACUCAUGGUUGUGAGGUACAUAUGUUUUGCAAUCUAUAAGAGAAAGCUUUAAAAUCUACAAUUUUUGCAACAACUGGUCACCAAAUCUAGACCAUCAGUCUAUCAUAUCUGUCAACAUGUGUUGCUUGUAGAAGUGUAUCUCACACAGCAAGUCUUCAGGAAUGCUAAAAAUAGUGGAGGAGACACUGCGAAAAAAAACUCCAAUAACGUUGACUUAUAUUAGUCACCUAAAACUAAAAGACACAUCAAAAAUAAUUGGUUUAAUGUAUUUUAUUUAGAAUUUAGGCUUCAAAUCCAAUUAUAAGUUCAUGGCCAAGUUUGGCUUUUAAUGAAAAAUUAGAUCUGUUGUCCGCAUAUGUGGGCAUAAUUUUUUUACAAAUAUUUAUUAAUUCAAAAACCAUCCUUAGAAUUUAUUAUUUAUAUUUUCAAAAGUUGAAAUCAAUUAAAUUAUUAUAUAUGACAAAAAUUAUCAUUAAAAUAUAUAUAUUUAUUAUUGUAUUAAAUUUUGAAAAUAGUUACAUAUUAUAAAUAUUUUAGAAAAUUUUUAUACAAAUGUUCUUGUUUAAUUAAUAUUAAUUAUAAAUUGUUUUAAAACUUUUUUUUACUUUUAUAAUAGAAAUAAUUAUUUAAGAUAACAAUACAAUAUAUAAAAAUUAUUUUUUUUAAAAAUAAAUAUUAUUAAUAUAAAUUCGUUUUUAAUUAUAUAAUAAAUUCGUAAUAAUGGUAUGUAUAUAGAUAGAUUGUGUUAUAUCUUACUUUUAACUUUUAUAAUAAAAAUAUUUAUUUUAAGAUAACAACACAAUAUAUAAUAAUUAUCUUAUUUUAAAAAAAAAUUAAUAUGAUUAAUAUCAAUUUGUUUUAAAUUAUAUAUAAAAAUUAUCAAGAGUAUCAUUAACUUUAACCACUCUAAUUUUUAACGUGAGAGUUCUGUUGUGAAAAUUUACUUCACAAAUAAUAGUAUAGAAAAAUACGAAAAAAAGUUUCCCACCGUUAGAUUUCAGAUAUUGUUUUCGUGUGCCAAAAAAACGUUUUAAAAGCCAUUUUUAAUCCAUCUAGAAAUCAUUGCGGCAUGGUAGCAACUUACGUUUAGAUUUAAAAUUUACAGAUUUCCACGCAUGGCCAGCAAAAAGAAAUUGUACUAAAUAGAAAAUAAUUAAUUAACAAAAAUAAUAAUUUUGAGAAACAAAAAAAAUAACACAAUGUACAGUAGAUAUGUUUAAGCAAACCAAUUCAUACUUUAUUGAAAUAGUAUAUAACCCAUAAUAUAAACCAUCAAAAUGAAAUUUAAUCAGGCACAACCAGAAAAUGUAACCAGAAAUAUAACUAUCUAAAUCAAAAUCAAAAUCAAGAAUUUCAUAUCCUUAUCAUGAUCCAUGAGUUUGAAUUAAACUCAUAAUUUUAUCGGAUUUCUAACAUUGUUAUUUAAACUAAACCAAAUUAGACUAGGAAUUUUAUUGAAUUUUUAACAUUACUAUUUAAACCAGCCCAAAAUAACAAAACUCAAACCACAUCCCAAUUCAUUAAUAACCUAGCUAUUAAUAUACUUCAUGAACUAAAAACCAAAAUUCACAACUGAAUCGGAACAAAAACAAAAUCAGUGAAUACAAUCUUGAUGUGAACCAAAAUUUAUAAAAUAUUAUCGAUUAUAAAAUCUGUAGUUUAAAAACGUAAAUCAUAAAUAAUUCAUUGUGCGAGUCAGAAUCUGGGAUUUAUUAUAGAGUUAUUUUCAUUCUAAGACACUUUAUGUCUUUUUAUUACAUUCUAAGACACUUAUUACUACGGAGGUAGUUUUUAGUGUUUAUUGACCCUCUUGCCCUCAACUAAGCGAAACUAGAUGAUGACUUUCGGUUUACUUUUUUUUUUCAGUUAGAAUAAUUUGAAUUUUGAAUUUGUUUAAAAUGGUGAAACCAAAACAAUAAUAAAUUUUUUAAUUUUCACGACAUUUUUUUUAACUACAAAUUCUUAUCUUCUUAUCACAAUUACCAAGACAAAGAAUGUAAACGCAGUUAUCGGCCGGAAACAAAAGUACGACGACGGAGACGUUGUUUGAUAAUAACAUCUCGUCUACUUGAUUCCUCUCUCGUCUACGCCAUAGCUCCUCCACGCCAAGCUCUAUGGUCUUCAAUUCUUGGUUCCACCUGUUGUAUACACCACAGCUCCUACUCGCCGUGCUAUCUGACCCUCCUCCGUGACCUGCUUCUCACCGCCGACUCACGUCUGCGCCAAUCUGCAAUGGCAAACUUCUCCACCAUGGGAUCUCCUAGUCGCUGCCUCAUCCGCCGUACAAGCAAUACCUCCACGUCGUUCCACCGCGCCCAGCUCCACCGCCGUUGCCAUCCAGAGUCGUCGUCACUCGGGUUCUCUGGAUCGAGAGCUCAGCGACAAUGGAUAAUUUUCUCAUAAUUUAACCGUUAGUCCUUCAAGUUCUUCCUUUUUUUUGUUUUGUCCCUAAAGUUUUAUCAUGUGCAGAGUUUUGUCUUCGUUUUUUUUUGGUGGAUCUUCCUUAUGUAAUUCUUUGGUCAAAAACACUCUUGCUAGUUGUUGUUAUCAACUAAGGUAGAAGAAGUCAGUUAUUGGUUUUUUGUUGGUUCUAUAACUCGUAGUCUCUUAGCAUAAAAGAGUUCAAUUUCCUUUGGUGUUUCUGCAAUUGUAAAGUGACUGUUGUAUUAUUGUUUUGUUAAUAUUCAAAUUAUAGUGUCUGCGCGAUGGUGUACAUAUUUAGUAGCGUCUGCGUGUACACACGUAGAAAACUUAGUAUGUAGGCAUGCAUGUUUGAGUGUGGAUAUGUAAACAGUAUACUAGAGCUUGUAUGUGUGCGUGUACACAUGUAAAAAACUUGGUGUGUAGACAUUUUUGAGUGUUGAUAUGUACCAUGAUGUUUUAGCAAGCGGCAUUACUUUUGUGUGAAACCUUUGUCUCAUAAGUAUAUGUGAAAAUAGAUGUACAACCAUAUAAUAAUAUCCAUGUGUACACGGUUAUAAUGAUAUCCACAUGUACAACCAUUGUAUGAUAUUAUGUGUAUGUGUGUACAGAAUCAAAAGGUGCUUGUAAAGUUCAUGGAAAAUGCAGAUUGUUUUGAGUCCAGCUCAUGAUUGGUUAUCAGCUAAACGUUGUUGAUAGUAGUGGAAUCACUCUUAGCACUGUUCAAGAGGAGGUGAAGUUAAUGUGCCUCAAGUUCUAUGUAUAGCAAUAACUACUGCAAUUUCAAUACUUUUCUUUUUGAAUUAGUUGUGUACACUAUUUGCAAUUUUGAUACAUUUGAUAUUUCAGAAAGCAUCAUUAUUUUUGUAUGACACGUUUUCUUAGUCAAUAUCAAUUUACAUAUGAAUAAAUUAUUAAGUAUGAAGCUGUCUAAACAAAAUGAUUGAUACUGAUAAAAAAAUAAAACUUACUGUAAAAUGAAAUAGCCUCCAAAUAUGUACAAAACCAUAUAGUAGUAUCUAUAUGUACACUGUUAUAAGGUAUCCAUAUGUACAACCUUAUAACAAUAUCCAUGACUAUGUCAUAUGUCUACAUAUGUACAAUCGUUAUAGUUAUACUGUACACAAUUUUAUUUGUGUAACAUGUACACGAUUAUAUAUUGAAAUAUAUAUUCUUGGUGUACACAUACAAAUAUAUAUUCUUGGUGUACACAUACAAAUGUAUUUUUAAACAUGUUCACACGAUUAAGCAACGAGGGAUUUAACUUUGAUCUGAGCAAAACACAAGUCCAACUCUUUCUUGUGAAGAUCUUCCAUACACUAUCCGUAAGCAUAGACUGCUAAGUUUUCGGUGCUGUUGACUACUUGGCGGUAGCCUUUAGCUUCCACAAGUGGAGAGAUGGCGUCUAUGGCGGUAAAGAAUUUGGUGACGAUGAGACUUCUUUGCUGCGGCGUCGUUGUUAUGUUACUACACAUCAAGUCUAGAAACAAUUAUCUAAGAGAUUAUGGACAAGAAUAUAAGAUUUUGGAUUCAUCUGUAAAAAAAAAGUAACGACGAAGAAGAUGAAUCAAGAGUAAUUAACUAAAUAUCAUUGGAUUUAUCUUGACCAUUCAUAUUAAAAAAACAAAAGUAAAUCUGAUGGUUGAAAAAUUAGACAGAUAUAUGUCUUGUCAAGAUGUGGAAUGGAUGAUCUUAGCCGUUGAGAGGUAUGAGAGAUGUGUGGCUGAGGUUAAGUCCCGCCACAUGUGUAGUUAGGUUAGUCAACUAUGUCUUUAAGAUUAAAUUGAAUCAGUUAACAAUGAACUACAAAGUUGAAAUAAAGUGUCCUUGUAGAAGAAAGUGACCUAUCAUGAUAUUAAAAGAUGAAAAGUGACUCUGAGUGAUAUUAUUUCUUUAUUAUAUACUUAUUAGUUUAUACGUGUAACAAAAGUGUUAUGUAGCCUUGCGUGCAAAGAAAAACAGAAACGGGCACCGUUAGCCAAACCCUACAACCUUAUCUCUGGUAUAAAAGCCAUAAAACUCUAACACAGACCUCUACUUCUGCGGCUACUGCAGAAAAGAAAAAUCAAUAUCCUCACAAUGAACUCCUUGGGUAAGUCUUAUCUGGUCGAAUAGCUGAAUUGUUUUGUCUUUUUGAAGUUUCUGUUAUGUUAUCAAAAUAUUAGGAAAAAAGUUUCUCAGCUACACCAUGUUUAGUAUAAUAUGGUGCAAACCAUCCAGAGUUUAGAAAUGUGUCGAAACCUAUACGAAAUAUAUGAUAAUACAUGUCACAUAUACGACGUUAAUAAAAAUAUGGUGCCAACAUCAUAACGAGGUUUAAUUGAUUUUAGCUUAAAUAAUUGGGGUCAGAGCGUAAUUUCUUAAAGUUAAACUCCAAUUAACAAAACCCGACCCGACCCGUUCGAUAAACCCGACCCACACUUAACCAUUUCCCCCAAAUCGAUUUCAUUAGGGUUCUAAACAAGAAAAAAAUUGGGAAUUUUGAAAAGAGAGUGAGAGAUUCGUCAGAGACAAAGAGAGAUUGCAGAGACAGAGAGAGAGAUCGAUUCAGUUUCCAUGGGUCGUAAGACUUCUUCAUUGUCCAGACUUGGUUUGAUUUUGAUGGUCUUGUAUAUACAUCUCGGCUAAGGCAGCAAACACUGCAGAUCCAAUGGGAAGAACAUUUUCAUCAAGGAAGAAAUAAGGUGAAUGAACCGAAUGCACAGAACCGACUUGUUCGUUUCUGAUACCGAUUCGAAUUUUUUCUUGUUUAGAACCCUAAUGAAAUCGAUUUGGGGGAAAUGGUUAAGUGUGGGUCGGGUUUAUCGAACGGGUCGGGUCGGGUUUUGUUAAUUGGAGUUUAACUUUAAGAAAUUACGCUCUGACCCCAAUUAUUUAAGCUAAAAUCAAUUAAACCUCGUUAUGAUGUUGGCACCAUGAUUUUAUUAACGUCGUAUAUGUGGCAUGUAUUAUCAUAUACAUCGUGUAGGUUUCGACACAUUUCUAAACUCUGGAUGGUUUGCACCAUAUUAUACUAAACAUGGUGUAGCUGAUAAACUUUUUUCCAAAAUAUUAUCCUGUUGAAUGAUGGGCUGUUUUAGGCUAUGUUUUAGGCUUUAUCCCUAUUUUCGUUUCUAUUUGAUUAUCCUGUUGAAUCACGUGCUGAGUUGAUUCGAUUCUUAAAAUCACUUCUUGUUUUGUCUUUUUGAAGUUUCUGUUAUGUUAUCAAAUUGCAUCAUGUUCUGUUUUAGUCAAUCGAUUCUGAUUUAGCCCUAUUGUUGGUCAUUCAGCUGACGAACAAGUGGAGGACUCGAUGCCUAUUGCAAAACCAGUAACUACUACAGGUAAAAAAAAAAGAAGAUAAACUUUUGUUUUUAGAUUGAAAGCUUUGUGUUGAUUAAAAGCCCUUUGUCAAAAAAAAAAAAAAAAAAGCUUUGUGUUGAUUUUGAGCUUCUUUUUUUUUUUUUUUCAUUCUUUCUCUUAGGUGAGACCGUGUUGCAACCAUGUUCCAGUAGCAAAACAAAUCUGAAGAGGCAGAAGAUACACAACGAGAGUAAAGCAAAUUUGAAGAAGCAGAAGGAAACCGAGGUUACAUUUCUGUGAAAUUCUUGCAUAGUUUGUUUAAAAAAAAGAAAACUGCAAAGGUUAGAUUUUUACUUGUCCUUGUUGUUUUUGUCUAUUAAGAGAGAGAAGGAAGAUUCUUGCUGUUAUGGAUGUGAAGGAGCGACCGGAAAUAGUCUUGAAACCAUUUUCGUUAAGGGAUUUCAACAUUUGCGCCCCAGGGAUGAAAUCAAGAAUGAAUUGAGCAACUUUUUUGGUUCUUGUGGAAAAGUCGUAAGGGUUUUUGUUCCCAUGCAAUGUGUUACCUGUGUUCCCUUGGGGUUUGUCUCUUUGUUCCUCUUUUUUUUUUGUCUACUCGUAUCAUAUAAACUAAAGAUUGUGUCGUUUCUUAAUAACAGAUUUAUUUUCAUUGACUACUCAAAUGGCGAAAAUGAGGCGUUAAAACUAAAUGGAAGUUACAUGGGAGGCCCCUUUUCCCCUUUUCCCUCCUCUUGGUUAUGCAUCUUUUUUUUUUUUCUUGAUAACAAAGUAACGUUUUCUAUUGAUAUUGCAGGCCGUUUGACUUCGACAAAGCUUAUUUCAAAAUUCUGGCCGAGAAGGCUAAUUCCAAAAUUUAAGCCAAAUUUCACCACUGAACCCGAGCUUCUUUUAUUUUUAUUAUCUAAUUAUUUUGUCUUGAUUUUGACUCUGCUAUGCUUUAAAUCAAAUUAUGUAUGAAACUCGUUAGUAUGGAGACUGUGAUUUUCAGAAAAGUUUGUUGAAAAAUGAUUUGGCCUUCCAUUCUCUAUAAUUAUAUGUGAUUAAGUUCCAUGUUGUUUAUGUCAUUUAAAUCGUGUGGGAAAAUUUUCUUCUUUCUUUAAGCGUUUCGUUUUCCCCUUCAAAUCUUAGUUUUCCAUAACUUCUCAGCCGCCACCAUUGUUGGAGAUCUUCUCCGUCCACCAUCCCCGCCAUGACUUAGAAGAUGGCUGUAGGCUUUAGCUGACAUUCAAAUACGGCGGGACGUGCUGUAGGCUGUGUCUUGAUUUUCAAGAAACGGCAGUUGGUUCGGGGUUUGUUUUGUUUUGGUCUUCAGUGCAUGAAGCAUAAAGAUCUUUACAUGUCGAUAUGGUCGAGUCUCCUAGUGGAAUUUCAAGUUCACUUGAACAAAGGCUGCUUCUUUUUGUGAACCAAGGCUUAGAAUGGUCGGCCAAGUGGUUAGAGAUAGCUCCUCAAAGCUGUAACUAUUUAAUGGUCGGCCAAAGAAGAAGCAUAAAACAAAAGCUUCAAAAAAAGUUAUGUCUUAUUUAAGAAUUUAAGAAUGUUUUUUUUUUUGAAGGAUUUUGUUUUUUGUAUGUUUAGAACUUGAUAUAUAUGUUGUUUUGAACUAUAAUUGACACAUUAAAAUUUGACUACAAUAUUUACUAGGUAUUCCUAUAAGUAUAUUAGGUUACUAAUUAUUUAUGACUUCUAUAAACUUGUAAAUAUAUUUAAAACAUGUCUAAAACAUGUGAAACAUGUUUAACACAUGUUUAAAACAUUUAUUAAAACAUAAUUAAAUUUAAAAUGUUACUAUAAACUAAUACUUUUAAUAAUACUCAAAAUAAUAGUAAUAUUAAUUUUCAUAAUCAUAUUUAUAUAAAAUUUAACAUUAAUUAGUGAUACUCUUCGUAAUCAGAAUCAGAAUGAAACCUUGUGAAAAUUUACGGAAUCUCAAUUCCAAAACGCUUCUAAAAUAUUUUUCCUAUAAACAUGUUUGAAGCUUACGAUUCCGUUUUCUUCAAAUACAAUGUCAUAAAUCUAUAAAAAUAUAAAAUUAUAGUUUUUAAUUUAUAUAAAAUUUAAAUUUUAAUAAUAGUGAAAUAUAGAGAAUAGAAAUAUACAAAUAUUCAUAAUAAUACUAUAAAAUUAUUUAUUAAUGGAACCCAAAAAAAAAAAGAUUUUGAGAGAGAGGAAAGAGAGAGAAAAGAAAAAAUAAGAGAAGGACUUUAGUUAAAUAGUAAAUUAUGUUUUUUUUCUUAUUUAACCCAAUUACAGGUAUUUAAAAUUGUAUGUCUCUCUCCGUGUGUGUGGUAGAAAACAAUUUUGUAGAGAAAAUUUUAUACGCAUUCCAAAGCUUUAUUAGAACACCUCUAAGAGCAUCUCCAUUGGAGAAUUUAAUGAGAGGUUCACACAGUUUCCAAAAAAAAAAAAUAUAAUAAUAUGUUUUUUAUGAACCUGUAUCACUUGAGCUCGCUGAAAUAAACCUGUAUCAACACUGUUUGCGGAUUCACUGACACGUGGCGCUCGCAAUUGGUUGGUUUGUUAAUUUUUUUUUUUUGGAAAAACCAAAAAAAAAAUUAUAAUAAUCAAAAGUAGAUUUUGGGAAGAGUUCACCAAUUAGGGUGUUCUAAUAAGGGUUCUUCUCAUUAGAGAUCUUAAAAUAUGUACUAUGUAUAUAUCUAUGUAUGUAUAUAUUAUAUAGGUAUAAGUAUUUAUGAGAUCUUCAAUUUUUGUGGAAUCCCAUAGACAAAAAUUCUUAAAAUGAGAUUUUAAGAAUCUUUAAAAAAAUUUGUUUAUGAGAUUUCACAAAAAUUGUAGACUCUACAAAUACUUAUAUCUAUAUAAUAUAUAUUUAUAUAUACAUAGUACAUAUUUUAAGAACUCCAAUGAGAAGAACCCUGUUGGAGGUGCUCUUAGUUCCAGAGUCACAGUCAAAUAAUACGCACAAUUCACAUUGUAUCCAGUUGAUUAUUAUAUACACCCUCUUCUUACCAGAACCAAGAACAACGAGUGUACUAAAAGAGGGUGAAGCUCCUUUGGGAAAAGGUUUGCCACAUCGGUACAAAACAUACACUACACGAACCAUUAGAAAGAUUGAUAAGAUGAUUAGGAGUGAAGGGAAGGUGCAUUUGGAGAGCAUCUUCGAGUAAAUGCAGCAAUGGUGGUGUUCCUCCAUGCUAGCUCUCUCUUCUCCUUCCAAACUAUAAUUCGAA
RNAcentral lists this long non-coding RNA (9702 nucleotides) under Brassica napus (rape). RNAcentral describes it as "long non-coding RNA (BNAP_LNC002887)". The record is from RNAcentral. Lineage: Eukaryota; Viridiplantae; Streptophyta; Magnoliopsida; Brassicales; Brassicaceae.